GCUUCCAUAGCUCAGUUGGUAGAGCGCUUCCAUGGUAAGGAAGAGGUCAUCGGUUCAAUCCCGGUUGGAAGCU
The sequence is a transfer RNA, 73 nucleotides long. It matches the Rfam family "tRNA". Rfam says of the family: Transfer RNA (tRNA) molecules are approximately 80 nucleotides in length. Their secondary structure includes four short double-helical elements and three loops (D, anti-codon, and T loops). The record is from Rfam.